UUGGAACGCUGGGCGGAUGCUUUACACAUGCAAGUCGAACGGCAGCACGGACUUCGGUCUGGUGGCGAGUGGCGAACGGGUGAGUAAUGCGCCGGAACGUAUCCAGUAGAGGGGGAUAACGCAGCGAAAGCUGUGCUAAUACCGCAUACGCCCUGAGGGGGAAAGCAUGGGAUCUUCGGACCGUGCGUUAUUGGAGCGGCCGACGUCUGAUUAGCUAGUAGGUGAGGUAAAGGCUCACCUAGGCGAUGAUCAGUAGCUGGUCUGAGAGGAUGAUCAGCCACACUGGAACUGAGAGACGGUCCAGACUCCUACGGGAGGCAGCAGUGGGGAAUUUUGGACAAUGGGCGCAAGCCUGAUCCAGCCAUUCCGCGUGAGUGAAGAAGGCCUUCGGGUUGUAAAGCUCUUUCGGCAGGGAAGAAAAGGUAUUGGUUAAUAGCUGAUACUGCUGACGGUACCUGAAGAAGAAGCACCGGCUAACUACGUGCCAGCAGCCGCGGUAAUACGUAGGGUGCGAGCGUUAAUCGGAAUUACUGGGCGUAAAGGGUGCGCAGGCGGCUCUGUAAGUCUGACGUGAAAUCCCCGGGCUUAACCUGGGAACUGCGUUGGAAACUGUAGAGCUAGAGUGUAGCAGAGGGGGGUAGAAUUCCACGUGUAGCAGUGAAAUGCGUAGAGAUGUGGAGGAAUACCGAUGGCGAAGGCACCCCCUGGGGUUAACACUGACGCUCAUGCACGAA
Molecule: ribosomal RNA, 734 nt
Filed under: uncultured beta proteobacterium
Lineage: Bacteria; Pseudomonadati; Pseudomonadota; Betaproteobacteria
Description: bacterial SSU rRNA
Rfam family: Bacterial small subunit ribosomal RNA
Source: RNAcentral